GACAGAGGUGCCGAGCGUUAGGCGGAAUCACUGGGCUUAAAGCGUGUGUAGGCGGACCGUUAAGUACCUUGUGAAAUCCCACGGCUCAACCGUGGAACGGCUGGGUAUACUGGCGGUCUUGGGCCACCUAGGGGCAACUGGAACAAGCGGUGGAGCGGUGAAAUGCGUAGAUAUCGCUUGGAACGCCAACGGUGAAAACAGGUUGCUGGGGGUGUGCUGACGCUGAGACACGAAAGCCAGGGGAGCGAACGGG
This 253-nucleotide ribosomal RNA is filed under the name uncultured bacterium. Its description in RNAcentral is "partial 16S ribosomal RNA". It matches the Rfam family "Bacterial small subunit ribosomal RNA", at positions 524 to 776 of the family's 1533-position model. The record is from RNAcentral.